This 432-nucleotide ribosomal RNA is filed under the name uncultured bacterium. Its description in RNAcentral is "partial 16S ribosomal RNA". It matches the Rfam family "Bacterial small subunit ribosomal RNA", at positions 29 to 507 of the family's 1533-position model. The record is from RNAcentral.
ACGAACGCUGGCGGCAUGCCUAACACAUGCAAGUCGAACGAGACCUUCGGGUCUAGUGGCGCACGGGUGCGUAACGCGUGGGAACCUGCCCUUAGGUUCGGAAUAACUCCCCGAAAGGGGUGCUAAUACCGGAUAAUGUCUUCGGACCAAAGAUUUAUCGCCUUUGGAUGGGCCCGCGUUGGAUUAGCUAGUUGGUAGGGUAAAAGCCUACCAAGGCGACGAUCCAUAGCUGGUCUGAGAGGAUGAUCAGCCACACUGGGACUGAGACACGGCCCAGACUCCUACGGGAGGCAGCAGUGGGGAAUAUUGGACAAUGGGCGAAAGCCUGAUCCAGCAAUGCCGCGUGAGUGAUGGAGGCCUUAGGGUUGUAAAGCUCUUUUACCCGGGAUGAUAAUGACAGUACCGGGAGAAUAAGCUCCGGCUAACUCCGUG